RNAcentral lists this ribosomal RNA (506 nucleotides) under uncultured bacterium. RNAcentral describes it as "partial 16S ribosomal RNA". It matches the Rfam family "Bacterial small subunit ribosomal RNA", at positions 28 to 523 of the family's 1533-position model. The record is from RNAcentral.
GAUGAACGCUAGCUACAGGCUUAACACAUGCAAGUCGAGGGGUAACGAGAGGGAAGCUUGCUUUCCUUGUCGACGACCGGCGCACGGGUGAGUAACGCGUAUCCAACCUGCCCCCAACUAGGGAAUAACCUUGCGAAAGUAAGACUAAUACCCUAUAAUUUCCUCAGAUGUCAUCUGACGAGGAAUAAAGAUUUAUCGGUUGUGGAUGGGGAUGCGUCUGAUUAGCUUGUUGGCGGGGUAACGGCCCACCAAGGCAACGAUCAGUAGGGGUUCGGAGAGGAAGGUCCCCCACAGUGGAACGGGGACACGGUCCAAACUCCUACGGGAGGCAGCAGUGAGGAAUAUUGGUCAAUGGGCGGAAGCCUGAACCAGCCAAGUAGCGUGCAGGAUGACGGCCCUAUGGGUUGUAAACUGCUUUUAUACAGGAAUAAAGUUAGCCACGUGUGGUUAUUUGUAGGUACUGUAUGAAUAAGGACCGGCUAAUUCCGUGCCAGCAGCCGCCGUAA